Molecule: non-coding RNA, 100 nt
Filed under: Clostridium amylolyticum
Lineage: Bacteria; Bacillati; Bacillota; Clostridia; Eubacteriales; Clostridiaceae
Description: Guanine sequence
Rfam family: Purine riboswitch aptamer
About the family: Riboswitches are metabolite binding domains within certain messenger RNAs that serve as precision sensors for their corresponding targets.
Source: Rfam by way of RNAcentral
UUAGUAAUUAUAAUAUAAAUUCGUAUAACUCUAACGAUAUGGGUUAGGGGUUUCUACCAGGAACCAUUAAUUCCUGAUUACGAAGAAGGUACAUUUUGGU